GUCAUAUUUAUAUUAUAUGAUGUGACAUUGUGACAUAUGACAGAGUGCCCAGAAAGUCAUUAUGCCUCAAGAGCUUAUAACCUACAAGGAAUUUAAAGGCGUAUUAUUCAGCCAUGCCCACCCACACCCUGCUAUUAUCUACAACAGCAGGGGACUCACUAGAUGAAUCAGAUGCUAGAGAUUCUUUCCAUGUGCACAGGAAACACUGAUUAAUUGGAGCAGUGACAAAAAAGUCUCUUUACCAGGUCAGCACGUGUGGAGGAAUAGCAUACCAUAAGUAACUUGGAGGUGAAGAUUAAUGGUCAGACAGUGGUGUGAAAAUGAUAAGGAAUUGCCAGGAAUACAGCUGGGAAGUCCAGACCAGAGUGCUUGAAGCCACCAUACAACAGACAAAAAGAAAGAAAAGUGGUAUAAGCUGGAGAAGCGAAUGGGGCACGCACCCUGGUUUGGGAAUGCAGGUGGGCAUAUAAUGCUUUCUGUAAGAACCUGGAAACAAUAAAAUUGGUUGAUGGGAGGAUUAGUCUGGAUGA
Molecule: long non-coding RNA, 530 nt
Filed under: Cyanistes caeruleus (blue tit)
Lineage: Eukaryota; Metazoa; Chordata; Aves; Passeriformes; Paridae
Description: lncRNA (ENSCCEG00000016192.1)
Source: RNAcentral